CACAAACAACUAACUUUCUCAAUUUUUUUACUUUUAUACAGUCCCAAUUUUUGAAUCACUAAAUUACGGUACACGCUACUAAUAUUAUCUUUUAUAACCUAAAUCUAAAUAGAAUAUGAUCUUCUUUUCCAUCAUCUUUAUGUCAGAUCUUUUUUCUUCUUCCUCAUCUCAUCAAUCUUUCUAACUCUCCACCUGCACCCACCGAGACAUUAUCUGCCAAAACCUCCGACGACAUCAGCUUGUCCUUUAGCGACUUGCGUCGUAAACGGCGAUCUGCAUUUCAUUCAAGCGGCGGCAGCGACAACAAUCUCCUAGCAACAUAGGCGGCGAUCUUCUAGUAGCGAUGGCGAUAAUUUCCUAGCAGCAGUUAGCAGUGAUGACCUCGUAGCAACAGCAGCGGCGACAAUCUCUUUUAAUUAUUGAUACACUUACUUCCAUUUUUUAUUUCUUAUUUUUCAUUUUUUUUCCUCCAUUGAUUAACGAUGUAUCUCAAAUUUUUAUGCUCUGAACCUCAAUUUGUUUUUCUGUAGUGGAGGGAGCUGUGAUCAUCAGGUUCUUUGCCUUACACUUUAAGUGGCUUUAAUUUUAUAUCGAGGGCUUGUGUUUAGAUUGGAUGUUGAUUGCCUUGUUUUGUUUGGCGGAGAGGAAAAAGAGGAAUGCUUAAGGAUAUGGGUGAAAUUGUUGCAAUGGCUGAAGACUUUGUAAAUGAUGGACAUGCUCUUAAGACAUAAACUCAUGUUAAAAAUAAUUGUUUAAUAUUUUUGAAUAAUUAUAAUGUUAUUUUUAUGUUGAUUUUUUUA
Mercurialis annua (annual mercury) is the source of this 800-nucleotide long non-coding RNA. RefSeq lists it as uncharacterized. NCBI's taxonomy places the organism in Eukaryota, Viridiplantae, Streptophyta, Magnoliopsida, Malpighiales, Euphorbiaceae. The record is from RefSeq and is a predicted model, not a curated record. The transcript has 2 exons.